This 292-nucleotide ribosomal RNA is filed under the name uncultured bacterium. RNAcentral's name for it is "partial 16S ribosomal RNA". It matches the Rfam family "Bacterial small subunit ribosomal RNA", at positions 505 to 796 of the family's 1533-position model. The record is from RNAcentral.
GUGUCAGCCGCCGCGGUAAUACAGAGGUCCCGAGCGUUGUUCGGAUUCACUGGGCGUAAAGGGUGCGUAGGUGGUGAGGUAAGUCGGAUGUGAAAUCUCGGAGCUCAACUCCGAAACUGCAUUGGAAACUACCUCGCUCGAGGGUUGGAGGGGGGACUGGAAUACUUGGUGUAGCAGUGAAAUGCGUAGAUAUCAAGUGGAACACCAGUGGCGAAGGCGAGUCCCUGGACAACUCCUGACACUGAGGCACGAAAGCUAGGGGAGCAAACAGGAUUAGAUACCCUCGUAGUCC